This 440-nucleotide ribosomal RNA is filed under the name uncultured bacterium. RNAcentral describes it as "partial 16S ribosomal RNA". It matches the Rfam family "Bacterial small subunit ribosomal RNA", at positions 338 to 795 of the family's 1533-position model. The record is from RNAcentral.
CCUACGGGUGGCAGCAGUGGGGAAUAUUGCACAAUGGGGGGAACCCUGAUGCAGCGACGCCGCGUGAGUGAAGAAGGAUUUCGGUAUGUAAAGCUCUAUCAGCAGGGAAGAAAAUGACGGUACCUGAAUAAGAAGCCCCGGCUAACUACGUGGCAGCAGCCGCGGUAAUACGUAGGGGGCAAGCGUUAUCCGGAUUUUCUGGGUGUAAAGGGAGCGCAGGCGGCUGUGAAAGGCUGUAGUGAAAGGCUGGGGCCCAACCCCCGGACUGUUCUUGAAACUGUAAAGCUGGAGUGCAGGAGAGGUAGGCGGAAUGCCUAGUGUAGCGGUGAAAUGCGUAGAUAUUAGGAAGAACACCAGUGGCGAAGGCGGCUUACUGGACUGCAACUGACGUUGAGGCUCGAAAGCGUGGGGAGCAAACAGGAUUAGAUACCCGUGUAGUC